This 497-nucleotide ribosomal RNA is filed under the name uncultured bacterium. RNAcentral describes it as "partial 16S ribosomal RNA". It matches the Rfam family "Bacterial small subunit ribosomal RNA", at positions 28 to 507 of the family's 1533-position model. The record is from RNAcentral.
GAUGAACGCUGGCGGCGUGCCUAAUACAUGCAAGUCGAGCGAACAGAUGAGGAGCUUGCUCCUCUGACGUUAGCGGCGGACGGGUGAGUAACACGUGGCUAACCUACCUAUAAGACUGGGAUAACUUCGGGAAACCGGAGCUAAUACCGGAUAAUAUAUUGAACCGCAUGGUUCAAUAGUGAAAGACGGUUUUGCUGUCACUUAUAGAUGGAUCCGCGCCGCAUUAGCUAGUUGGUAAGGUAACGGCUUACCAAGGCAACGAUGCGUAGCCGACCUGAGAGGAUGAUCAGUCACACUGGAACUGAGACACGGUCCAGACUCAUACGGGAGGCAGCAGUGGGGAAUAUUGGACAAUGGGCGAAAGCCUGAUCCAGCCAUGCCGCGUGUGUGAAGAAGGUCUUCGGAUUGUAAAGCACUUUAAGUUGGGAGGAAGAGCAGUAAGUGAAUACCUUGCUGUUUUGACGUUACCAACAGAAUAAGCACCGGCUAACUUCGUG